RNAcentral lists this ribosomal RNA (164 nucleotides) under uncultured bacterium. Its description in RNAcentral is "partial 16S rRNA". It matches the Rfam family "Bacterial small subunit ribosomal RNA", at positions 355 to 511 of the family's 1533-position model. The record is from RNAcentral.
UAGGGAAUCUUCCACAAUGGGCGAAAGCCUGAUGGAGCAACGCCGCGUGUGUGAUGAAGGGUUUCGGCUCGUAAAACACUGUUGUAAGAGAAGAAUGACGUUGAGAGUAACUGUUCAAUGUGUGACGGUAUCUUACCAGAAAGGAACGGCUAAAUACGUGCCAC